This 605-nucleotide ribosomal RNA is filed under the name Ustilago nuda. RNAcentral's name for it is "LSU rRNA". It matches the Rfam family "Eukaryotic large subunit ribosomal RNA", at positions 62 to 648 of the family's 3401-position model. Lineage: Eukaryota; Fungi; Basidiomycota; Ustilaginomycetes; Ustilaginales; Ustilaginaceae. The record is from RNAcentral.
AAACUAACAAGGAUUCCCCUAGUAACGGCGAGUGAAGAGGGAAGAGCCCAAGAUUGAAAGCUGGCGUCUUUGGCGUCCGCAUUGUAAUCUCAAGAAGUGUUUUCCGCUUCGGACCAUGCCUAAGUCCCUUGGAAAAGGGCAUCAUAGAGGGUGAUAAUCCCGUACAUGGCAUGGAGCGCCCGAAGCUUUGUGAUACACUUUCUAAGAGUCGAGUUGUUUGGGAAUGCAGCUCAAAAUGGGUGGUAAAUGCCAUCUAAGGCUAAAUAUUGGGGAGAGACCGAUAGCGAACAAGUACAGUGAUGGAAAGAUGAAAAGAACUUUGAAAAGAGAGUUAAACAGUACGUGAAAUUGCCAAAAGGGAAGGGUAGGAGGUCAGAGAUGCGGUCUGGGAUUCAGCCUUGCUUUUGCUGGGUGUUUUUCUCAGAUUGCAGGCCAACGUCGGUUUUGGGCGCUGGAGAAGGGUGGAAGGAAUGUGGCACCUCUCGGGGUGUGUUAUAGCCUUCUACUGGAUACAGUGACCGAGACCGAGGACAGCAGCGUACUCGCAAGAGCGGGCCUUCGGGCACCUUUGCGCUUAGGGCGUUGGCAUAAUGGCCCUCUACCAC